Molecule: long non-coding RNA, 1458 nt
Organism: Malania oleifera
Lineage: Eukaryota; Viridiplantae; Streptophyta; Magnoliopsida; Santalales; Ximeniaceae
Exons: 6
Source: RefSeq, a predicted model, not a curated record
CCAAGAGAUCGACGUGGUCGACUUCCUUCCAGGCACUCUACUAUAUCACAUGAGGAUGAUUCGACAUCCUUGAGACCGGCGGAGCCUGUCGGUCUUGAUGUGGCGGCACCAUUGUCUGAGCCAUCGACACCUCGUCCAGAUGUGGAUACCUUAGCUCGGGAUGACACGCAGGGUGAGUUUCCCACCAUGAUCAACAGCGUUGCAUCGACAUCCACGGCUAGGUCAGGUCGUGGUGUCACGAAGAACACGGCACUAAAGAAGCACCUGCAGAGGACGGGGCAGCACAUUAGGAUCGACAUUCCUCCAGCUUCACCACCCCGCAUGAUGAUUGGUGUCCAGCGUGGAUGCAAAAGCUUGGCAUUAUAUGCCGACAGUAUACUCCAGUCACCGCCUUCAACUAGCCGCAGGUGACUGAGGCGCAACGCAUGGUUCUUUACAUGUGCAUCUUGGAGGAGUUCGAUAUGGACAUUCUCCACAUGAACCAUGUGAAGAGGGGCAGUGGAUGUCCAAAUUUGCAAUAAAUUUAAGUCCUAUCGUGUCAAAAUGCACGAACAUUUUCGUGCAAUGGGAGAUGAAGCAGAAACCCACCCAUACGAUAAGAUAUCCCAAGAGGAUUGGGAGGUGGCUAUAUGUGUUAAAAAUGCUGCGAACCGCAGCAAACUCCCUACGACUCAUUGCGGUGGGUCGAAGUUAUUCGUAAAUCAUCAAUGGCAUGAUCCCGCGACUGGCACCGAGGAGCUACUGCCAGAUCUUUAUCAGAGAACGCACCAAAGGAUCGGGGGAAUGAUGCGACGGUGCAUAGAGCAAACAUUUAAGUUAAAUUAAAUAUGUAGUUUAUAAUUUGAUUCAAAACAUCGAAGUUGUAUUCUUAUUUCUUCUUUUUUAUCAUUUUCAUGACUGAAAAUAGGCGUGGAUGGUCGAGCUAAGAGAUGCACCUGUUGAGGAGGGGAGCCAGCAAAUGACGAAUUACCAGAUAACCGCUCUGGUGCUUGGGGAACGAGUAGGGAGCUGGGUGAAGAGGCUUGGAAGUGGAUACAUCACCCCAACAACAUCGUCUUCAAUAGGUGCGGUGGCUUGUGCUGAGAUAGAAUGAGUGCGUCGAGAGGUCGAGGCUUGGGUGGACGAGAUGGUUCAGCGGGUGCAUACGGUAGAGCUAGAGAACCAGGAAUUGAGACACAGGAUGUCUAACAUCAUAGUGGAGAACCAGAGUUUGAAAGAAAAGGUAUCCACCGUUGAAGCCACGCUCGCAACAGUUCUAACAGGUAGGCGCAGUUUAAAGAAAUGAUGCGCAAAUGUCGAUUAGAUGAUGUAGGUGGCUCCUCUCAUUAGAAGGGUUUACAACUGUCACACCAUCAACACCAUCCUAUGCUACAAAAGGAUGCAACUUUUGACUUUUUUUUUUUGUUAUCUAAACAUAUGGGAUUCAUGUAUAAAACAUUCGGAAUUUGUAUAGUGUGG